This 253-nucleotide ribosomal RNA is filed under the name uncultured bacterium. Its description in RNAcentral is "partial 16S ribosomal RNA". It matches the Rfam family "Bacterial small subunit ribosomal RNA", at positions 524 to 776 of the family's 1533-position model. The record is from RNAcentral.
UACGGGGGGGGCAAGCGUUGUUCGGAAUUACUGGGCGUAAAGGGCGCGUAGGCGGUUCGAUAAGUCAGCUGUGAAAACCAUGGGCUUAACUCAUGGCCUGCAGUUGAGACUGUCGGGCUGGAGUGUGGGAGAGGAGAGUGGAAUUCCUGGUGUAGCGGUGAAAUGCGUAGAUAUCAGGAGGAACACCGGUGGCGAAGGCGGCUCACUGGCUCGACACUGACGCUGAGGUGCGAAAGCGUGGGGAGCAAACAGG